GUGCUCACUUCAGCAGCACAUACACUAAAAUUGGAACGACACGGAGAAGAUUAGCAUGUUCUCUGCACAAGGAUGAUACGCAAAUUUGUGAAGCAUUGCAUAUUUUU
This is a small nuclear RNA of Prionailurus viverrinus (fishing cat), 107 nucleotides long. NCBI's taxonomy places the organism in Eukaryota, Metazoa, Chordata, Mammalia, Carnivora, Felidae. The record is from RefSeq and is a predicted model, not a curated record.